UACAGAGGUCUCAAGCGUUGUUCGGAUUCAUUGGGCGUAAAGGGUGUGUAGGUGGCGCCGUAAGUCGGGUGUGAAAUUUCGGAGCUUAACUCCGAAACUGCAUUCGAUACUGCGGUGCUUGAGGACUGGAGAGGAGACUGGAAUUCAUGGUGUAGCAGUGAAAUGCGUAGAUAUCAGGAGGAACACCAAUGGCGAAGGCAGCUCGCUGGAACGGUACUGACGCUGAGGCGCGAAAGCGUGGGGAGCAAACAGG
This 253-nucleotide ribosomal RNA is filed under the name uncultured bacterium. RNAcentral's name for it is "partial 16S ribosomal RNA". It matches the Rfam family "Bacterial small subunit ribosomal RNA", at positions 524 to 776 of the family's 1533-position model. The record is from RNAcentral.